UCAAAUAAUAUAACAAUUUGACAAAGGUUUACAUAUCACAGACCCAAUUUAACAGAUCAAAUAAUACAUCCAGUGUUACAUUGCAAACACUGAGGAACUUCUUUACUUGCUAAUGAAACCAAAGUAUCUGAUUUUUGAAGUACUUUACUUCAAAGAGUAUAAUCAAUUCACCAAUUUGAUAAACUUUAUAGACAUACAUUUCCACAUUGCUAAACUAGGUAGCUUCAACAAAAUUUAUAGCGCCAGUUCAUUAAUUAGAGAAAAAGAAAAGAUUAUUUCAUUUCUUACAAAAAAGUAAAGACAAUGAGAGAACCUUUUUGCAUCACAUCCGCCUCACCAAUGUAAGUAUCUAGGUUUUCUUUAUCUUUCACGAAGAGGAAUAGCAAUCAAGAUGUUUUAUGAAGAAAGCAUACAACACAAUAUUUGAGGCUCAGCAUGAUCUAAAAUUUGGCCUCAAAGAAUGUCCAAAGACAACUGAAUAAGCUAUGGUUGCAUGAGUUCAAAUAUGUCGGACAACUUGCUUGUAUAAUAAUCUGGAUGAGUCUUAUUUGAAGCGUCUUGAAGAGCGGAUAGCGUUGUAACACCUG
This is a long non-coding RNA of Rosa rugosa (rugosa rose), 587 nucleotides long. RefSeq lists it as uncharacterized. The transcript is spliced from 2 exons. NCBI's taxonomy places the organism in Eukaryota, Viridiplantae, Streptophyta, Magnoliopsida, Rosales, Rosaceae. The record is from RefSeq and is a predicted model, not a curated record.